CCUACGGGUGGCAGCAGUGGGGAAUGUUGGACAAUGGGCGAAAGCCUGAUCCAGCCAUGCCGCGUGUGUGAAGAAGGCCUUCGGGUUGUAAAGCACUUUCAGUGGGGAAGAAAGCCUUGGGGCUAAUACCCUCGAGGAAGGACAUCACCCACAGAAGAAGCACCGGCUAACUCCGUGCCAGCAGCCGCGGUAAUACGGAGGGUGCGAGCGUUAAUCGGAAUUACUGGGCGUAAAGCGCGCGUAGGCGGUCUGAUAAGCCGGUUGUGAAAGCCCCGGGCUCAACCUGGGAACGGCAUCCGGAACUGUCAGGCUAGAGUGCAGGAGAGGAAGGUAGAAUUCCCGGUGUAGCGGUGAAAUGCGUAGAGAUCGGGAGGAAUACCAGUGGCGAAGGCGGCCUUCUGGACUGACACUGACGCUGAGGUGCGAAAGCGUGGGUAGCAAACAGGAUUAGAUACCCGAGUAGUC
Molecule: ribosomal RNA, 465 nt
Filed under: Vreelandella stevensii
Lineage: Bacteria; Pseudomonadati; Pseudomonadota; Gammaproteobacteria; Oceanospirillales; Halomonadaceae
Description: partial 16S ribosomal RNA
Rfam family: Bacterial small subunit ribosomal RNA
Source: RNAcentral